RNAcentral lists this ribosomal RNA (512 nucleotides) under uncultured bacterium. Its description in RNAcentral is "partial 16S ribosomal RNA". It matches the Rfam family "Bacterial small subunit ribosomal RNA", at positions 28 to 523 of the family's 1533-position model. The record is from RNAcentral.
GACGAACGCUGGCGGCGUGCCUAAUACAUGCAAGUCGAGCGGACAGAAGGGAGCUUGCUCCCGGAAGUCAGCGGCGGACGGGUGAGUAACACGUGGGCAACCUGCCUGUAAGACUGGGAUAACUUCGGGAAACCGGAGCUAAUACCGGAUAGGUUCUUCCUCCGCAUGGGGGAAGAUGGAAAGACGGUUUCGGCUGUCACUUACAGAUGGGCCCGCGGGGCAUUAGCUAGUUGGUGGGGUAAUGGCCCACCAAGGCGACGAUGCGUAGCCGACCUGAGAGGGGAAUCGGCCACACUGGGACUGAGACACGGCCCAGACUCCUACGGGAGGCAGCAGUAGGGAAUCUUCCGCAAUGGACGAAAGUCUGACGGAGCAACGCCGCGUGAGCGAAGAAGGCCUUCGGGUCGUAAAGCUCUGUUGUUAGGGAAGAACAAGUGCCAGAGUAACUGCUGGCACCUUGACGGUACCUGACCAGAAAGCCACGGCUAACUACGUGCCAGCCGCCGCAGUAA